AAGACAACUUUCGACAACGGAUACCUUGGCUCCCGUAACGAUGAAGAACGCAGCGAACUGCGAAACGUAGUGUGAAUUGCAGAAUUCCGUGAACCAUCGAAUCUUUGAACGCAUAUUGCGCUCAAGGCCUCGGCCAAGAGCAUGUCUGCCUCAGCGUC
This 158-nucleotide ribosomal RNA is filed under the name Gloeotilopsis sterilis. RNAcentral describes it as "5.8S ribosomal RNA". It matches the Rfam family "5.8S ribosomal RNA". From Rfam's summary of the family: 5.8S ribosomal RNA (5.8S rRNA) is a component of the large subunit of the eukaryotic ribosome. It is transcribed by RNA polymerase I as part of the 45S precursor that also contains 18S and 28S rRNA. The record is from RNAcentral. Lineage: Eukaryota; Viridiplantae; Chlorophyta; Ulvophyceae; Ulotrichales; Ulotrichaceae.